GAGCUAGCGUAUCUAGCUUGUAUUCAGCCGCCCUGGCUCGGGUGCCCUGUCUGCUGGUCCGGAAUCGGCCAGUAGGCGGGUGUCUCUCGGGUCUUGGUGGUGCACUUGCAAGUGGAGUGCGCUGAGGCCUGUGGGUCAGCGGUUGGAAGUGCGCUUUGAGGAUACCCUUUGGGGUAAAACCCGGGCGUGCCUAAGACUGUUUGGCCUGCUUGUACAAUGAGCGAGGCCAACGGGUUUGGCUGGGGCUGAGCUGGUCGCCGGUUACGGUCGCAUGCGACACGUGCUGGUGGCUGGUUUGGUCUGGGUCUGGCUCCCUCACUCGCCCUCGGUGUAAAAGCUAGUCAUCUAUCUGACCCGUCUUGAAACACGGACCAAGGAGUUUAGCGUAUACGCGAGUCAUUGAGUGAAAAACUCAAAGGCGCAAUGAAAGUAAAGGCAUCCCUUGUGGAGCUGAUAUGCGACCUCGGGUGCUUCGGUGCCCGGGAGCAGCAUAGCCCCGUCCCGAUCGCUUGCGAUGGGGCGGAGGUAGAGCGUGUUCGCUGAGACCCGAAAGAUGGUGAACUAUUCCUGAGCAGGAUGAAGCCAGUGGAAA
RNAcentral lists this ribosomal RNA (592 nucleotides) under Pratylenchoides ojcowensis. RNAcentral's name for it is "eukaryotic LSU rRNA". It matches the Rfam family "Eukaryotic large subunit ribosomal RNA", at positions 578 to 861 of the family's 3401-position model. The record is from RNAcentral. Lineage: Eukaryota; Metazoa; Nematoda; Chromadorea; Rhabditida; Merliniidae.